GAUGAACGCUAGCUACAGGCUUAACACAUGCAAGUCGAGGGACCGGCGCACGGGUGAGUAACACGUAUCCAACCUGCCCUUUACUCGGGGAUAGCCUUUCGAAAGAAAGAUUAAUACCCGAUAUAAAGGAUGGGGAUGCGUUCCAUUAGGUUGUUGGUGAGGUAACGGCCCACCAAGCCUUCGAUGGAUAGGGGUACUGAGAGGAAGGCCCCCCACAAUGGAACUGAGGCACGGUCCAAACCCCUACGGAGGGCAGCAGUGAGGGAUAUUGGGCGAUGGGCGUUAGCCUGAACCAGCCAAGUAGCGUGAAGGAUGAAGGGUUAUGGGUCGUAAACUUCUUUUAUAUAAGAAUAUGUAUUAUAUGAAUAAGGAUCGGCUAACUCCGUGCCAGCAGCCGCGGUAAUUC
Molecule: ribosomal RNA, 406 nt
Filed under: uncultured bacterium
Lineage: Bacteria
Description: partial 16S ribosomal RNA
Rfam family: Bacterial small subunit ribosomal RNA
Source: RNAcentral